Molecule: long non-coding RNA, 1026 nt
Organism: Ictalurus furcatus (blue catfish)
Lineage: Eukaryota; Metazoa; Chordata; Actinopteri; Siluriformes; Ictaluridae
Exons: 3
Source: RefSeq, a predicted model, not a curated record
UUUUAACGGUAGGUGGAGCUACUGUCUUGAAGAAGGCAGCUUAUCCACAAAACAAGGAUAAUCAAAGAAAAUCUUGCCAGGAUUGACUAAAAAUGGCAGAACCAAAGAAACGCAAGAUAGCAAUGAUGAAAGAGUAUAAUGUACGCAGACACUGUGAAACCAAACAUCUGACCUACACUGGUGUCGAGCGACAAGAGAAAGGAAUAAUGUCCCCAGAAAAGAUGCAGGAAGUCAACAUGUGAGAAUGUCCAGAAACACAGUUGUGUAGAGUUGUGUAAAUGGAACAAGCUGUGUGGAGUUACAAUGGAUGGGGCUCCAGCUAUGACACGCGAGUGCAAAGGAAUGGCCUCUAGUGUUAAAAUGCACUGUAUCAUCCACCAAGAAGCCCUCUGUGCAAAGACAGUCCAGCUUGAGGAUGUGAUGAACACUGUUGUGAAAACUGUCAAUGUAAUUCGAGCACGAGGGCUGUACCACAGAGAAUUUCAAGCUUUUCUGUCUGAUGUUGAUGCUGAAUACGGGGACCUAUUGUUGUUGUUUUUUAACUCACCUAUAGUGGGAAUAUUUUUGCAGCAACACUGUUCCCACUAUAGGGAAGUUUAAAAAAUAUUACACAGUGUUCAUGCAUUAAUAAGCUUAAUUAUAUAAUAAAUUCAGUCAAUUGAAGGUUUCUAACAUUAACAUUUUAUAACAAACAUUGAUGUUAACAAGCCCUAUAACUUAUUUGUAUAAUAAGCUUAAAUAUAGCCAUCCCCCUUUCCCUCUAAUUUUUACCACUUUAUACAGGGCUGUGAAGGGGGAUCACCAUCCUGACUAAGAAGCAAUCUGAGGUUGCUGUUUUGAGAAUGAACUGCCAACCCUUUUUGUAACAAAAAUAUGAAAACCCAUUAAUGGAAUGUUGUGAUGUAGACUGUUUUUUCUUCUUCAAGCAUAUUCAGUUAGCAAGCAUAAUUUACCUACAUUUGAUUGAUAUUGCUAACUUUAAUACACUAGAGGUGAGGCGAUAUACUUCACCUCUAGUGAGUGGCC